This 908-nucleotide ribosomal RNA is filed under the name uncultured bacterium. RNAcentral's name for it is "bacterial SSU rRNA". It matches the Rfam family "Bacterial small subunit ribosomal RNA", at positions 33 to 932 of the family's 1533-position model. The record is from RNAcentral.
ACGCUGGCGGCAGGCUUAACACAUGCAAGUCGAACGGUAACAGGGAUUAGCUUGCUAAUCUGCUGACGAGUGGCGGACGGGUGAGUAAUGCUUGGGAAUCUGGCUUAUGGAGGGGGAUAACUACGGGAAACUGUAGCUAAUACCGCGUAAAAUCUUCGGAUUAAAGGGUGGGACUUUCGAGCCUCCUGCCAUAAGAUGAGCCCAAGUGGGAUUAGGUAGUUGGUUAGGUAAAGGCUGACCAAGCCGACGAUCUCUAGCUGGUCUGAGAGGAUGACCAGCCACACUGGAACUGAGACACGGUCCAGACUCCUACGGGAGGCAGCAGUGGGGAAUAUUGCACAAUGGGGGGAACCCUGAUGCAGCCAUGCCGCGUGAAUGAAGAAGGCCUUCGGGUUGUAAAGUUCUUUCGGUGACGAGGAAGGUUGGUAGGUUAAUAGCCUAUCAAAUUGACGUUAAUCACAGAAGAAGCACCGGCUAACUCCGUGCCAGCAGCCGCGGUAAUACGGGGGGUGCGAGCGUUAAUCGGAAUAACUGGGCGUAAAGGGCACGCAGGCGGUGACUUAAGUGAGAUGUGAAAGCCCCGAGCCUAACUUGGGAAUUGCAUUUCAUACUGGGUCGCUAGAGUACUUUAGGGAGGGGUAGAAUUCCACGUGUAGCGGUGAAAUGCGUAGAGAUGUGGAGGAAUACCGAAGGCGAAGGCAGCCCCUUGGGAAUGUACUGACGCUCAUGUGCGAAAGCGUGGGGAGCAAACAGGAUUAGAUACCCUGGUAGUCCACGCUGUAAACGAUGUCGAUUUGGGGAUUGGGCUUUGAGCUUGGUGCCCGUAGCUAACGUGAUAAAUCGACCGCCUGGGGAGUACGGCCGCAAGGUUAAAACUCAAAUGAAUUGACGGGGGCCCGCACAAGCGG